This 259-nucleotide unclassified non-coding RNA is filed under the name Hevea brasiliensis (rubber tree). The record is from RNAcentral. Lineage: Eukaryota; Viridiplantae; Streptophyta; Magnoliopsida; Malpighiales; Euphorbiaceae.
GUGGGAGUAAGAGCGGGGACAUUGUCCACAAUGCGAGUGACGGCAGCGCUCAAAAUGGAUCGGGCGGGAGUGAAAUCUCCGUUGUCGAAAACCCUAGAAAGAGAAAUGGAGAAUCUGGAAUUGGAUAAACAAAAAGGGAAAACAUGUUUUAGAAAUCUGGUUUUGAAAUGGGAAGGAGAAGGAGGAGGAAGAAGAAUUGCUAUGGAUUUCGAAUGAGCCAAUGCCAUUUUGGCCUUGAAAACCUCAAAUUGAACUGUUU